UCGGAGUCUAGUACUUAGAUUACUUGUAUAGAUUUAAGUGAAUUUUUUAAAUCGUGUAAAUAUGAUUCUUUAAUCGAAUUUCUUUUAUGGAUUUGUAAUUCGAAUAGUAUUGUAAGGGGUGCGAGUAGUAAAAUCCAAACUCACUUUAUGAAGUCCCACAGCAGUUAGUGGGCUUAUGUAGGCGUGUUUCAUGGAAGGGUGUUGCUUCCUCCACCACCACAGCUUUGUCCUGCACCUCCC
This 240-nucleotide long non-coding RNA is filed under the name Vigna radiata. Its description in RNAcentral is "long non-coding RNA (VRAD_LNC010697)". Lineage: Eukaryota; Viridiplantae; Streptophyta; Magnoliopsida; Fabales; Fabaceae. The record is from RNAcentral.